This 792-nucleotide ribosomal RNA is filed under the name Staphylococcus sp. RNAcentral's name for it is "bacterial SSU rRNA". It matches the Rfam family "Bacterial small subunit ribosomal RNA", at positions 48 to 822 of the family's 1533-position model. Lineage: Bacteria; Bacillati; Bacillota; Bacilli; Caryophanales; Staphylococcaceae. The record is from RNAcentral.
CUAAUACAUGCAAGUCGAGCGAACAGAUAAGGAGCUUGCUCCUUUGACGUUAGCGGCGGACGGGUGAGUAACACGUGGAUAACCUACCUAUAAGACUGGGAUAACUUCGGGAAACCGGAGCUAAUACCGGAUAAGAUUUUGAACCGCAUGGUUCAAUAGUGAAAGACGGCCUUGCUGUCACUUAUAGAUGGAUCCGCGCCGUAUUAGCUAGUUGGUAAGGUAACGGCUUACCAAGGCAACGAUACGUAGCCGACCUGAGAGGGUGAUCGGCCACACUGGAACUGAGACACGGUCCAGACUCCUACGGGAGGCAGCAGUAGGGAAUCUUCCGCAAUGGGCGAAAGCCUGACGGAGCAACGCCGCGUGAGUGAUGAAGGUCUUCGGAUCGUAAAACUCUGUUAUCAGGGAAGAACAAACGUGUAAGUAACUGUGCACGUCUUGACGGUACCUGAUCAGAAAGCCACGGCUAACUACGUGCCAGCAGCCGCGGUAAUACGUAGGUGGCAAGCGUUAUCCGGAAUUAUUGGGCGUAAAGCGCGCGUAGGCGGUUUUUUAAGUCUGAUGUGAAAGCCCACGGCUCAACCGUGGAGGGUCAUUGGAAACUGGAAAACUUGAGUGCAGAAGAGGAAAGUGGAAUUCCAUGUGUAGCGGUGAAAUGCGCAGAGAUAUGGAGGAACACCAGUGGCGAAGGCGACUUUCUGGUCUGUAACUGACGCUGAUGUGCGAAAGCGUGGGGAUCAAACAGGAUUAGAUACCCUGGUAGUCCACGCCGUAAACGAUGAGUGCUAAGUG